RNAcentral lists this ribozyme (89 nucleotides) under Aedes aegypti (yellow fever mosquito). RNAcentral describes it as "drz-agam-1 ribozyme". It matches the Rfam family "drz-agam-1 ribozyme". Lineage: Eukaryota; Metazoa; Arthropoda; Insecta; Diptera; Culicidae. The record is from Rfam by way of RNAcentral.
UGCCCAGCAACUCCUAUCCCUACCUCCUCGUAGUACUGGCCGGGGUACGAGUAACCUUGGGAACUUUGGUCGUAUGCUGACAACGAAGG